This is a small nuclear RNA of Diceros bicornis minor, 107 nucleotides long. Lineage: Eukaryota; Metazoa; Chordata; Mammalia; Perissodactyla; Rhinocerotidae. The record is from RefSeq and is a predicted model, not a curated record.
GUGCUCACUUUGACAGCACAUAUACUAAAACUGGAACAACACAGAGAAGAUUAGCAUGGCCCCUGUGCAAUGACGAUAUGCAAAUUUGUGAAGCAUCCCAUAUUAAA